This 300-nucleotide ribosomal RNA is filed under the name uncultured Saprospiraceae bacterium. Its description in RNAcentral is "bacterial SSU rRNA". It matches the Rfam family "Bacterial small subunit ribosomal RNA", at positions 114 to 414 of the family's 1533-position model. Lineage: Bacteria; Pseudomonadati; Bacteroidota; Saprospiria; Saprospirales; Saprospiraceae. The record is from RNAcentral.
CGCGUACACGACCUACCUUAGAGAGGAGGAUAGCCCUGGGAAACUGGGAGUAAUACUCCAUAGUAUUGAAUUAUUACGAUUUUUCAAUUAAAGGUUUCGGCCGCUCUAUGAUGGGUGUGCGUCUUAUUAGCUAGUUGGUAAGGUAACGGCUUACCAAGGCAACGAUGAGUAGGGGGCGUGAGAGCGUGAUCCCCCACACGGGUACUGAGACACGGACCCGACUCCUACGGGAGGCAGCAGUAAGGAAUAUUGGACAAUGGGGGCAACCCUGAUCCAGCCAUCCCGCGUGUAGGAAGACUG